This is a long non-coding RNA of Apodemus sylvaticus (European woodmouse), 4477 nucleotides long. RefSeq lists it as uncharacterized. Lineage: Eukaryota; Metazoa; Chordata; Mammalia; Rodentia; Muridae. The record is from RefSeq and is a predicted model, not a curated record. The transcript has 3 exons.
GCUUGGAAGGGGUCUGUCUGCGUGGCCUCCUGAGCGGGGGGCGGGGCAUUAUCUCCAAGUGUUUGUGAGCGGAGUAACGUGGGUAUCGGCUGAGUUUUUAUAACAAAUUCUAAAACUGCAUGAGUGUGAGCCUCCUGUAACGAACGUCAGCCCAGACUAGCACUUCAAAAUACUAAACCUGGAUAACCUGCUGCUGCACGUGCUUUAAAAGGUAGAAAAUUAGUUGGCAGGACAGUGAUGGGGGAUACUGUCAGGUGAAGUGCAGAGUGUUGGAGGGCGGGGCGGGUAGGGCAUCCUGGGAGUUGAGCCGAGGCCUCAAGCGCUAGCGACAGCUCCAGUGCUAAGCUGUGCCUCCAGCCCAGUUCUUUACUUGAGCUGACCAGUGCUCCGCGUUGUUAAAGUGCCCUUGUGGGUGGGCGGCUCACCUGCUGUGAGCCGGACAAGCUUGCUGAAGAGACUUGACUUCUGGAGGUUGACCUCUGACCUCCACAAACACGAGGAAAUAAGUGUGAGAAGCUAAGAAAUCUUAAAGUAAGGCCCGGGCAUCAGCAUUUGACAGACAUCCCCCUCUUCAGAGUAUAAUGUGUGCUCACACUAGUGGGGCAGCAGGGUGGAGGAAGACGCGUUUAACCCUGAUCCUGAGCUGCUCUGGCAGAGGCUGUUCUGCAGUUUUCUGGUUUAAAUGCUAAGAGUAACUCUGAUAAAAGUAUCAUAGUCUGUGGUAGAGGCAUUCUUUUCAAAUAAAUACAAUAAAUAUGGAUAUAAAAUAUUUUUAAAAUAUUACUACCUUUAAAAUUUUGUAAUUGAUCCCAGAAUUAUAAACUCACCUCUUUCCCCAUUUUCUAAUAUGUAAUAUUAACAUCCAAAGAGCAGAAAUUACACACUACAAGGAUUUUGGAAAUUUGCGUUGUCUUGGCUUUUAUCUGUGGAAGUUCAGCUGAUGUUUGAUACCAUAUACCACCAACCCCAUGUGUAAUAAACUGCUUAUUAACUAAGAAUAAUAAGGGAUCGACAGAAACUAAAAAUUAAAACAGACUGUACUAACUUGCCAGCAUCGGUACAGUGUUCACUCACUGUUAACUGAGGUAAGGGUAGUCUAUAUAUGAUGGAUGGAUGCAUUGGACAAAGCUGUCCAAAGGGACAGCUUGUACUCUUCGGUCUUGAAGCGAGUGUAUCAGACUUCUCAGCUAUUGCUUACAGAUGUUUUUUGGGUUUUUUUGAGACAGGGUUUCUCUGUGUAGUCCUGGCUGUCCUAGAACUCUCUCUGUAGACCAGGCUGGCCUCAAACUCAGAAAUCUACCUGCUUCUGCCUCCCAGAGUGCUGGGAUUAAAGGCAUGCUCCACCACCGCCCGACCUUACAGAUGUUUAAUAUUCUACUUAAUAACUGUGGACAAAGUUGACCAUGGAAGAGGAGAGCACUGCACACAUUUCAGUUACUAUACCACAGACACGCCCUAGUAGCUUGAUGGUUUAGAAAUGGGCACUAGCUCCUAGACUUCCAAAUACCCUUUACAAUAUUUUUUAAGAUGUAUUUAUUUUUAUGUAUAUGAGUAUGCUGUGACUGUACAGAUGGCUGUGAGCCAUCAUGUGGUUGCUGGGAAUUGAACUCAAGACCUCUGCUCACUCCAGCCCUGCUCACUCCAGUACCCAAAAUAACCUUUAAACCUAGAUAAGCAACCAUUCUGAGCAGCUGGAUAUGAUUCUUCAGUAAAAGAUAGGUGUGGGCUCAAGUAAAUGCCCUCUUAAGUGGUGCAGAAGUAGAAGGGGAACUCUCUUAUUAAAAUGCCUUGGGCAUGACCUGGCAUUUGCUGUAUGUCUUGCCCUCGGUCUUCACAACCCUGAGAAGCAAUCUCUCAGACUUAUAGAUUGUGGAUGAGGAAACUGGAGCUUCUCAGUAUUGCGAGCAGUCUCAGAGCUCACCCGCUGCUGCUCCGGUUUAACCUGGGUCGGUGUCCUCGCAGCGCAUUCUGUGCUGGGUGUUGGAGCUCUCGUGUCAGCAUAGAGACUUCUCAGUGGUGGGAUUACGAGAAUUCGCCAGCACCACUGCUGGAGGCUUUUGUCACUGUCCGUAGAAAAUAAUAUUUGCACAGAAAAUGAAACUGUGCACAGUAUUGUUUUCUGCCGUAGGCAGAAGUAUGUUUGCACGUCCACUGUACUGGUGUCACCCGGCUGACAGGCGGAAUGGCUAACAGGAAGAGCGCCCACACUGACCUUCCCUGGCGCUCAGCAUGCACUGCACAUGGCUCACUGCCGGUUCUCCUGCAUGUCAGCCUCCCGGACGGCUUAGCUACACUUACCUCACCAUGCUUUCCUUUGGAUUUCCUGAAGAUUUUGUUGAAGUUGCAUAAUUGUGACUAGAAAGUUUGUCAUACUGUAAUGUGUCUUGGAUCAUGAGUUAAUGUUUGAGAUUUAGAAAUUCCAGCUGACCAGUGGGUAAUUACUGUUAGAUCCUACAGAUUUCCAAGUGCUGGGGUUACAGGCAUGCACCACCACUGCUAAUUAUUCAGUUCCUAAUGAGAACCUGUUCCCUCUGUAAUUGGAAUUAUCAAAGAAGUAGAGAGGCAUAAAAGACCAGUGUAUUUCUAAGGAAUAGCAAGUAACUCCUACAAAAUAAGAUUUUGUAUGUGUCACAUUUUGACUAGCCUCCUGCAGUAGGCUAAGGAGUCUGUAGAUCAUGCACUAGGAAAGAGUCUGCUGAGCGACUCUGGGCUGCCAAGGGGGUGACCGAAGUGGCGCGCAGGAGAUAAUCUGAGGUUUCCUCAUGGGAGAGAUUGUGACACACGCUGCCCCUAUUCCUGGGUGAAGUGGCAACAGCACAGGUCCCUGUGGCAGAAAGUGGUCUCCGUGUUACUGUCUAGGCUGAGUGGGUGCUGUUUCCUGUGUCACUGUCUAGGCUGAGUGGGUGCUGUUUCCUGUGUCACUGUCUAGGCUGAGUGAGUGAGUGCUGUUUCCCGUGUCACUGUCUAGGCUGAGUGGGUGCUGUUUCCCGUGUCACUGUCUAGGCUGAGUGGGUGCUGUUUCCCGUGUCACUGUCUAGGCUGAGUGGGUGCUGUUUCCUGUGUCACUGUCUAGGCUGAGUGGGUGCUGUUUCCCGUGUCACUGUCUAGGCUGAGUGGGUGCUGUUUCCCGUGUCACUGUCUAGGCUGAGUGGGUGCUGUUUCCUGUGUCACUGUCUAGGCUGAGUGAGUGAGUGCUGUUUCCCGUGUCACUGUCUAGGCUGAGUGGGUGCUGUUUCCCGUGUCACUGUCUAGGCUGAGUGAGUGCUGUUUCCCGUGUCACUGUCUAGGCUGAGUGAGUGAGUGCUGUUUCCUGUGUCACUGUCUAGGCUGAGUGAGUGCUUGCUGUUUCCCGUGUCACUGUCUAGGCUGAGUGAGUGAGUGCUGUUUCCUGUGUCACUGUCUAGGCUGAGUGAGUGCUGUUUCCUGUGUCACUGUCUAGGCUGAGUGAGUGAGUGCUGUUUCCUGUGUCACUCUCUAGGCUGAGUGAGUGGGUGCUGUUUCCUGUGUCACUGUCUAGGCUGAGUGAGUGCUGUUUCCCGUGUCACUGUCUAGGCUGAGUGAGUGCUGUUUCCUGUGUCACUGUCUAGGCUGAGUGAGUGAGUGCUGUUUCCCGUGUCACUGUCUAGGCUGAGUGAGUGAGUGCUGUUUCCCGUGUCACUGUCUAGGCUGAGUGAGUGAGUGCUGUUUCCCGUGUCACUGUCUAGGCUGAGUGGGUGCUGUUUCCCGUGUCACUGUCUAGGCUGGGUGGGUGCUGUUUCCUGUGUCACUGUCUAGGCUGAGUGAGUGCUGUUUCCCGUGUCACUGUCUAGGCUGGGUGGGUGCUGUUUCCUGUGUCACUGUCUAGGCUGAGUGAGUGGGUGCUGUUUCCCGUGUCACUGUCUAGGCUGAGUGAGUGAGUGCUGUUUCCCGUGUCACUGUCUAGGCUGGGUGGGUGCUGUUUCCUGUGUCACUGUCUAGGCUGAGUGAGUGCUGUUUCCUGUGUCACUGUCUAGGCUGAGUGAGUGGGUGCUGUUUCCCGUGUCACUGUCUAGGCUGGGUGGGUGCUGUUUCCUGUGUCACUGUCUAGGCUGGGUGGGUGCUGUUUCCCGUGUCACUGUCUAGGCUGGGUGGGUGCUGUUUCCUGUGUCACUGUCUAGGCUGAGUGAGUGGGUGCUGUCUCACUCUUUUUCUUGGCUUACUUUGUAUUUGUUUCUAAGAGAAAACACUUUCAAAAAUAUGAUAGCCGUGGAGCUAGGCGGCUGACCCUCUCUCUCUCUCUCCAGAAUCUCUGCUCCUUUGAUUCUGGUUCUGGUUUUGAGUCUAACUGUUAUGACCUCCGUGCUGUCAAUAAGGGAUCCUGUGAAAACUGCUGUCCAGAUGUACUUGUGCUGCAGCUUGGUGAGAGCAGAGCACUUGCAGGCCUGCUUGGGAACUAGAGAAGCCAUCUCGGUCCCUUGUGUUCCGUGAGCUGGGGCAGAGGAUAGCCAAGGGCAGGCCG